AAGAGGUCUAGAGGGAGUUUGCCAAAAUGAUUGGUGAGAGCAUAGUUUGUAGCUGGAAGCAUGCCUGCCACAUAUACUCAGUUUGAGAAGGCUGGGAUGGGAGUCUUGUUCAAUUUACAAAGCAAAGCAUGCAUCAUUUGUAGAAUUCAUUUCGUAUUUGCUAUCCACUUUUGCUUUAUGAAUGAAUUGUUUCUUUUUAUUUUUUCAAUGAUCAAUCAGGAGGCUUCCGAGACCGGGGCAAGAGUUUUGGCAGUGGUCGCCCAUGGAGCUGAUUGAUGGAACUCCUACAAUAAUGCUAUUGAUGUAUCCUCACUCUUUGUAAUGUGGUACUCCCAAAUUAGCUACUGUUUGUAAGAAAAGUGGUAGGAGUUUGGAUUUCUUAUUUGUUAGACUCAUUUUUCUCCUAUUUUUAUUUUGGUUGAAAUGUCCAUAGAACUUUGAUAAGCCUUGUAUCUACAAUCAAACAGUUAUUUAUACUUUUACAGUUCAAACCACCGUGAUUUGUUUCACUCCAGUGACCAUAACAUGCAAUAUGAUGCAACAUAUAUUGUAUGCUUGAGAGUUUCCAUGUGCAGAGGAAGCGGUGAACCACAUAUAAUUGCAAAUUUAGACUGGAGCACUCCAAAUGCCUCCUCAAAGCCAUUUCUUGAUAAUUAUUGUUGGACAAAUAGUUUUCUUUUCUCUCCGUGUAGCAUUAGAAUUAUUUUGACAAAUGUAUCCCCCUCAAGAUUUUUUCUUGAAAGGCACUGGUAGAUAUGAUUUGCUCUGGGAUAUAUACCUUUUGCUAAAUAGUACCGCAUAUUCCUUUUGCUAAAUUGUACCACAUGUUAAAUAGUUUUUAUAGGG
Molecule: long non-coding RNA, 846 nt
Filed under: Trifolium pratense (red clover)
Lineage: Eukaryota; Viridiplantae; Streptophyta; Magnoliopsida; Fabales; Fabaceae
Description: long non-coding RNA (TPRA_LNC011491)
Source: RNAcentral